UAGCCUCGGGGGGCGCCGGACACGCGGAGGCCAGGUGGGGAGGCGGGAGGGCCGGGGGGCAGAUGCUGCGCUCCGCAGGGAGCCCGGACUUGUACA
RNAcentral lists this small RNA (96 nucleotides) under Felis catus (domestic cat). RNAcentral describes it as "GRIK4 3 prime UTR element". It matches the Rfam family "GRIK4 3 prime UTR element". Lineage: Eukaryota; Metazoa; Chordata; Mammalia; Carnivora; Felidae. The record is from Rfam by way of RNAcentral.